UUUACUACUAUUUGAUGACUGCAGUUUCUCUCAUUUAGAGAAAGACAUUGUCCUUGGACUUCAGUAACCACUCAGUGAAGAAGAAAAUAGAAAACUUUUACAACUCAGAGAGAUCAGGAGAUUAAAAAUGUAGUCAUAUAGUUGUG
RNAcentral lists this long non-coding RNA (146 nucleotides) under Anser brachyrhynchus (Pink-footed goose). RNAcentral describes it as "lncRNA (ENSABRG00000009653.1)". Lineage: Eukaryota; Metazoa; Chordata; Aves; Anseriformes; Anatidae. The record is from RNAcentral.